RNAcentral lists this ribosomal RNA (440 nucleotides) under uncultured bacterium. Its description in RNAcentral is "partial 16S ribosomal RNA". It matches the Rfam family "Bacterial small subunit ribosomal RNA", at positions 338 to 795 of the family's 1533-position model. The record is from RNAcentral.
CCUACGGGUGGCAGCAGUGGGGGAUAUUGCACAAUGGGGGAAACCCUGAUGCAGCGACGCCGCGUGUGGGAAGACGGUCCUCUGGAUUGUAAACCACUGUCCCCAGGGACGAAGAUGACGGUACCCGAAGAAAAAGCAUCGGCUAACUCCGUGCCAGCAGCCGCGGUAAUACGGAGGAUGCGAGCGUUAUCCGGAUUUAUUGGGUUUAAAGGGUGCGCAGGCGGAGGUGAAAGUCAGCGGUCAAAUUGCGGGGCUCAACCCCGUACUGCCGUUGAAACUGCAUCCCUUGAGGGCGCGAGAAGCAGGCGGAAGGCGGGGUGAAGCGGGGAAAUGCAUAGAUAUCACGCAGAACUCCGAUUGCGAAGGCAGCAUACCGGGGCGCAACUGACGCUCAUGCACGAAAGCGUGGGUAUCGAACAGGAUUAGAGACCCGAGUAGUC